UUCCCCCUUUUUUUUUUUUUUUUUCUUUAAAAUUUUCCAUUUUAAAUUGGUUAUUUCUGAUUUAUAUAUAAAAGCAAAUAAUAAUGAUAUGGUUUGAAUAGGAAAAUUAAAAUUUUUUAAGUUCUUAGACCACAUUCAUUCUGUGUCAGAAACCUAUGCUGUGUCAAAUAUUUAAUCACAAUCCAAAUUCAGAGCUGUAUCAAGCUUGAAUGUUGUGUUUAUACUUGCCCCAACUGUUCAGGGUUGGACCUCUGCGGUCGUAUCAAGCUGCGCCCAGCGGAGCAUUUUAUUCAUUUUAUCAGAUAUUAUAAGCAUAUGUCUACUUGUUGGUGUGUGGAAUGACUGCAAGGUGUCAUAUAAAAAUAAGAAGAUGUCUGUCUGCCAAGUUUAAUAUUACUGAGACCUUAUUUUCAUAGAAUAUUGAUAAUAUCAAGCAAAAAUGAUGAGCAAGACAAGAUACAAAUGAUCCAAAAUUGUCAGUUGCCUACUUAUUAUGUAAUAGUAGUUAUUGUCAUCAAAUGAUAAUGUUUACCCUUUUAUGUGUAGGGCAAGAACAUUAAAGAUAAAGGGAAACUAUAAACAAAAGAAAUUAUCAACAAAAAUAGAUUUACAGACGUCAACAAAGCCUAAAUGGUCAGACAUCUUGGUUUUCAUGAUCAUCAUUCAACAGGUCAAUACUGAACAGCAAACUUAAAGUUGAUAUUUUUCUACAUAGUGUGACUUUUUUAUUAAUUUGAAAUGGAAUGUGUUUUUUUUUCCUACAUAAGAAAGAGGAAAUUUCAACAUAAUGACUAUAAACAAAAAGGAGUCAUAUCAUCAUGAUCAUAGAUGCUCAAGAACUUAAUCAUGUAAAUGCAACAACGUAAUUAUCAAUUGAAAGAAGGGAGGAAUGAAAAAAUAUAUUAGUAUUUUGUUGUCCAAAUGAACUUGCUUUGUCCACUCAUUUAAAUUGCUCCAUCCAAUAAAGAUGUACGGAGGAAGAUUUUUGAAGAACAGAUUGCAAAAAUGUUUUGUCUAAGAAUUGUAGGAACAUUCUAGUGGAUGAAAUAAUUUAUUUACUUGACUCUUAUAUAGUGGACUGAAUAAUUGUUCAUAGCAAGCUGAAACAAGAAAACUAAAACUUAACAGGAAAAGUGUUUAUUUUAUAAAUUUACAAAUAUAAAUGUAAUAUUAUGAACACCACAAAGGAAUAAGAUUCAAAUCGUUUGCAUAUUCAUGUAUUGCAAUGGAACUAUAACAAAGAAAACUUUACCUCAUGAAAAGAGUAAACUAUUAACUGUGCUUUGUCAAUUUAUUCAGUCAGAAUAUGAAAUAUUUUUUUCAGUUCUAUUUUUCAUAAUAAAACAAAGAAGACAAAGAUUUCAAAUCAAUAUUUUUUUCUUUUAUUAAGACGUCAUAAUUUUAUUUCAGUUAAAGGAUUUUAUUUUUUGACUUUAAAUAUUAUUAUAUUUCCAAAAUAAUAAUAAUCUUUAUUGUCAUAUAAACAAAUUAAAAACAUGUUUGUGACAAAAUGAAAAAAACCAAAAUACACUCAUAUAUAUAUUAUAAACUUUUUACUACCAAACAGAA
This is a long non-coding RNA of Mytilus californianus (California mussel), 1569 nucleotides long. RefSeq lists it as uncharacterized. The transcript has 2 exons. NCBI's taxonomy places the organism in Eukaryota, Metazoa, Mollusca, Bivalvia, Mytilida, Mytilidae. The record is from RefSeq and is a predicted model, not a curated record.